AUUGAACGCUGGCGGCAGGCCUAACACAUGCAAGUCGAGCGGUAGAGAGGUGCUUGCAUCUCUUGAGAGCGGCGGACGGGUGAGUAAUGCCUAGGAAUCUGCCUGGUGGUGGGGGAUAACGUUCGGAAACGGACGCUAAUACCGCAUACGUCCUACGGGAGAAAGCGGGGGAUCUUCGGACCUCGCGCCAUUAGAUGAGCCUAGGUCGGAUUAGCUAGUUGGUGAGGUAAUGGCUCACCAAGGCGACGAUCCGUAACUGGUCUGAGAGGAUGAUCAGUCACACUGGAACUGAGACACGGUCCAGACUCCUACGGGAGGCAGCAGUGGGGAAUAUUGGACAAUGGGCGAAAGCCUGAUCCAGCCAUGCCGCGUGUGUGAAGAAGGUCUUCGGAUUGUAAAGCACUUUAAGUUGGGAGGAAGGGUAGUAACCUAAUACGUUGCUACUUUGACGUUACCGACAGAAUAAGCACCGGCUAACUUCGUGCCAGCA
This 490-nucleotide ribosomal RNA is filed under the name uncultured bacterium. Its description in RNAcentral is "bacterial SSU rRNA". It matches the Rfam family "Bacterial small subunit ribosomal RNA", at positions 30 to 513 of the family's 1533-position model. The record is from RNAcentral.